This is a non-coding RNA of Ciona intestinalis (vase tunicate), 4005 nucleotides long. The record is from RefSeq and is a predicted model, not a curated record. NCBI's taxonomy places the organism in Eukaryota, Metazoa, Chordata, Ascidiacea, Phlebobranchia, Cionidae.
AAGCAGCAUACAUGAAUAUAGGGUGUCUGUCUGCACAUCCAAUGUCAUAAAAUGGCUUCUAAAGAGGAAACUGUAAUACAAUACAAAAGCAAUCAUGAAGGACGUGUUCUUACAAAGUUAAACAGGUUACGUAAAGUUAAAAUGUUUACUGAUGUCACGUUCAAAUUGGAAGAUGGAGAAGUUUCAGCUCACAGAAAUGUUCUUGCUGCAUAUUCUGAUUAUUAUGAGAAAAUGUUCACAUCUGGGUUCAAAGAAGGUUUUAAUAAAGAUAUUGAAAUAAAGGAAAUAAAGGCUUCAAUAUUAGAUUUGUUGUUCACUUUCAUUUACUUACAAGUGAUCGAUAUAAGCGAUAAAACCGUUUGCCAACUUUAUGAGGCUUCAGAUUACUUGCAGUUUAAUGAUGUGAAGGGAUUUUGUGUUAGCUUCUUUAAUGAUGCGCUUGCUGUUGGGAACUGUUUAAGUUUCCGUUCCUUUGCACAAAGAUACCAGCUUCUGGAGUUGGUGGAAAAAUGUAACAAAUUCAUCGUUGACAACUUAGAGUUGGUUUCAAAAGAUUUAAAAUUUUUACAAUUUUCAAUAGAAGAAGUAGAAGCUGUGUUUGCCAAGAAACCAAUACAGAGUACAGUUUUCAGGAGCAUCCUAACUUGGAUUAAACACGACUUUAAACAACGUCAACACUUUUUUGAACGAUUAUUUCAACUGAUAGAUGUGAAACAGUUAUCAACUACAUUUCUUGAAGAAAUUGUUGAAAAAUCUGAGAAUUGGAUAAAGAGGUUGGAAGUUUAUUUUGAUGUUAUCACUCCAGAAUAUAUCAGACGCCUUAAAACAACUGAAGUAAUUGAAAAUGCACCAGAUGGAAAGGAUAAAACCAAUCGCCGUCAGGUGCAUCCACUCCCGAUCAUGCCGCGCUUUCCCCCCGUCUCAGGCAAAAAAAAGUACGGCGAAUCUCUGCCAUGAAAAGUAAAAUGCAAAAUUUGGCUUAAUGACGACUUCACAAAGGUGGUCAACUUCAUUAAACUAACAUCGAGCUUGUAAAAGCAUUAACAGGAAAGAAUAUUUUACCUUGAACAGUGGUCAAUGAAGCAACCAUCCAAGCUCUGACUGGGCGUACAGUCUUUGCUCAAAGCACAAUCAACCACUACAAUAGCAAGAUGUGAUGCAUCUCCUGUAGAUUUGUAAACAAAGACUGUUCAUUCAGUGUCUUUCAUUCAUCUAAUAAUUAACUUUCAAUUUGUCUUUAAUAUUAACACUAAAUAAUUCUCUAUGCAGUUGUAUUGAUAAAGUUUUAUAAAAACUGAGUUUUUAUUACAUUCCUAUGCUAACGUUUCAAUUUUUUGAUGAUAAAACCUACAUUUUUUAGAUUGAAUCUUUAAUUAAUGUGUUUAGUUUUUACUUCUGUACUAAUGUAAUUAGUUUUUGGAUGCCAAGAAUCCUUGUUAACCUGUGGGGUUGUAUUUACUUGUAACGUUGUUUCUUCCUCAAUAGCAUUUAAGUGGUUUUGUUCACCAAGGUGAUCUUAGUAUGUAGCCGAAGAGCAACUCAUUGUUACGUAAAGGCACCCAAAGUUACACCAGAGAUACAUAAACAAGAGAUUGGCAAUGACGUCAUUUCGAUUGUUUAACUUGAGCUCCUUCUUCUAACGUUCACGCCUGACUGAACAGGCCCAUUGUCUUGUUUUUUCCACCACGUGCGGAAUUGCGACAACAGACGAUUUCGAUACGUUUUAGUUUAGUAACUUUCAUUGAACCUGUUAGGUAUAUUCUUUGCCUUAAUCCAAAAUAGGAGUAUCUGUGUAUGCUAAGUAGGUGUUUCGUACAAAUUUUCGUGCGGAUCGGCGCACCGGAAAUACAAAAAGUAAGUGAUUUUGUUCAUUACCUGUCAUAAUUUAAAAGACGUGGUCUAUGACACAUUGCCGUAAUGAACUCGUGAUGGUAUAUAUAAUCAUUCUAAUGUACAGUUUGUAUUCUCGUAAUAAAUUUAAUUUAAUUAUUUUCACAAUAAAUUUAAAAAAAAUAUAUAGCCUUUUAACUCAAGGUGCUUAUGCCUUGAUCUGUCCUGCUGCUCAUACCCAAAUUUUUCAUCCCUGAGGUUUUUUUUGUUAAAGCAGGACAGAGGCUCUUCCUCAAGAUCCAAAUUUGGGUCACAGAGCAGUUAUAUAGAGGGUUAAAACAACAAAAUUGGGUAACAGGUAGCAAGUGCCAAGGGUACAACAUUUUUUUGGAUUUUAUGUUAUUCUAUGUACAGCUGGGUUUAACAGAAAUUAAUUCUGCCCAUAGAUAUAUUAUAAUGUAGAGCAGUGGGUUAAAACAACAAAAUUGGGUAAAAGGUGGCAAAGAUACAACAUUUUUUUUGAAUUUUAUGUUUAGUCUAUGUACAGCUGGGUUAGAAAUAAUAAAAUAAACUUUUACAUGUGAUUAUAUAACUAAAUAGGCUUUCCGUAGAUUUUGCUGAUUAUAAAUGCUGAUGAAAAUAUUUUUGGAAAUCCAUUUCAAUUAUUACAAAAAUAUGCAGCAAAUAUUACGUCAUAGUGUGUGAACUUGCUGUGUUUGAUUAUCAGUUGUUAGGCAACAUGCUGUGGCAGUAAACAUAAACCACUAUUCCUGCUUUCUUGGUUAACUUGUUUUUAUUCCUUUGGUCAUAUUCUUCUGUAAAUUGUAAUGUUUUAAUUUAACAUACAGGUGUUUUCUUGGGAUCAUGGUUCAGUUUUGUUGGCUUCAAUGACGGGCGUGCUUCAAAAUGUUUAGGAACUCCGACUGCUGAAUAAAAGUUGUCCAGCUAAAAACUGAGCAACGUCAGGAUUUUCCGAGCGCCUUCCAAUGCUACGUUGUUGCCCAAAAUAGUGUUCUAGAACGUCUUGAUUGAUUCUUCGGGUGCAGACCAUGGACACUCCCAUUUGCAUUCCAAAGAGACGGAUCGGCUAAGAGUUUGGGCUGCAAUCGAAACAUUCAUUUUUGAAAAUGGAGUGAGGUACACAUGGUUUGUAUUGAGUUUUGGUAAGCAAUGUAAAUCAUUUCCAAUAUCCAUUUCCGCUGUUUGCACAAAAUGAUUCCACAUUAUGUAAUCUUUAAAGGGGGGCCGUUGCAUUAGUCUUGGUCCAUUUGGUUUUGAUCCAUAAAGACAAUUUCUUGCUGUUUUGAUUAGAUGCUUUCUUGCUGUUUUGACAAAAUAAAGUUUCGGGUGUUGCGGAAAUUUAGUUUCAAAUGCAAUAUCUUUAGUAGCCACAUAAUAAACUGUUUCGGGUGUCGCAGAAAUUUGGUUUCAAUUGCAAUUUUUUUUAGGACCGUUUUAAAGUCUUCCGGGUGCCUUUAGACUGACGACAGAUCUUUGAGUCAUACAUGUUUUUCAACUGUUUGGUAUGGCUGAAUGCUCGAAUUUUUACAUAUUUUGAAACUAUCAAUUCCAUAGCUGAAAAAAACUUGAGUAUUGUCAUAGUUACUAUGAAAGGAAAUGUUUGAAACAAUACUUGUCAGGGCGUACUGUUUCAUUGUGUUAAUGACAAUUUGUUCAGUUUUGAUUUGUGUACUGUGGCAACAAUUUACCAAUCUAAAUUCUUUCUCUGCAUGUACCAAAGCCUUUAACAAGUUAUCAGAAAUACUGCAAAGCCCACCAUUGCUGUUAUCAAUCCAAUUUCUCUGUUCUACCAUACCAGUACGUUCAUUUCUUCUAAAAUAGUCCAACAACGGAUGUACAUAUUUAUUCCCAAUGUAUGUUCGAAUAAUGAAACCACCUAAAACAAAAAAAAAGUUAACGAAGCAGUGCUGCAAUUUCUACAAACUUACCAAUGUAAUCAAUUAUUCGCAGAUCUUGCGGAGUUAUGUCUUUAACUUCAUUCUGUUGUAUUGCCGUAACUGCAGUGUAUUUUUGUUGCAUGUCAGUCGUAAUUUUUCGGACAGUCUGCGCUGCUUCUACUUUUGGGAGACCUGGGAAAUGCUGCUUUGCGUUGUAUAGCAUUUGUGUGACUUCGCUGUAGUAUGCAUCCAUGUUUGGAAAUAAAGAAUACAGUUU